Molecule: long non-coding RNA, 2011 nt
Organism: Oncorhynchus keta (chum salmon)
Lineage: Eukaryota; Metazoa; Chordata; Actinopteri; Salmoniformes; Salmonidae
Exons: 3
Source: RefSeq, a predicted model, not a curated record
AUGGCUAUCAAGGCCAUGGUGUAUUGAGUCAUUUAUUUCAUGGAAUCAAACCUAAAAAUGAGAAGAGAAUAACAUGGCAUGAAGGUCACAGGAAGCCUUCCUGAUGAUCUGCACUCUGUGGCUUUAGAACAACACCAUGGCUACAGCCAAGCAGCUCCACAGCCUCCCCAACAACACAACAACUUCACACUUUAAAAUAGGCUUUUUAAACCUUUUCUUGCCCAGGAAAAUGAGCAAAACACAUCUUGUUUUAUCAGGUGAAUGGCAAGGAGAGGUAAUCAACAUCUUAAAAUGAAUGGAUUUGAUCAUUUGUUAUUAUUAUUUUGACCUCCCACAUCCAUAUAAUUGGAAGAGGAAGUGUAAACUAACAUAGCCUAGUAGCUAGAAAGGUAACUCCAAACACAUUUUCACUAAGAACAGCUGUUUAGGUGGUUAAAUGAAGGUUAGCUGUGUGCUGGCAAAACAUUAAUCAAGUCAAGAAAGCUUAGCAGCAGCCAGCGGCACUUUCUGCACUGGUAGCGGGUGCUUUUUCAAAGCCCAUGUCAGAUACUCCAUUGAGUGUAAUUGAAUCAAAUCAAAUUUUAUUUGUCACAUGCGCCGAAUACAAGUGUAGACCUUACAGUGAAAUGCUUGCUUACAAGCCCUUAACCAACAAUGCAGUUCAGAAAAAAAGUGUAUUUACUAAAAUAAAUUGAAGUAAAAAAAUAAAAUAAAAAAAGAGUUUUAAAAAUAACAAUUAAGGAGCAACAAUAAAAGAACAGUAACGAGGCUAUAUACAGGGGGUACCGGUACAGAGUCAAUGUGGAGGUUAUAUACAGGGGGUACCGGUACAGAGUCAAUGUGGAGGCUAUAUACAGGGGGUACCGGUACAGAGUCAAUGUGGAGGUUAUAUACAGGGGGUACCGGUACAGAGUCAAUGUGGAGGCUAUAUACAGGGGGUACCGGUACAGAGUCAAUGUGGAGGUUAUAUACAGGGGGUACCGGUACAGAGUCAAUGUGGAGGUUAUAUACAGGGGGUACCGGUACAGAGUCAAUGUGGAGGUUAUAUACAGGGGGUACCGGUACAGAGUCAAUGUGGAGGUUAUAUACAGGGGGUACCGGUACAGAGUCAAUGUGGAGGCUAUAUACAGGGGGUACCGGUACAGAGUCAAUGUGGAGGUUAUAUACAGGGGGUACCGGUACAGAGUCAAUGUGGAGGCUAUAUACAGGGGGUACCGGUACAGAGUCAAUGUGGAGGUUAUAUACAGGGGGUACCGGUACAGAGUCAAUGUGGAGGUUAUAUACAGGGGGUACUGGUACAGAGUCAAUGUGGGGGAGUAAAGGUUAGUCGAGGUAAUUGAGGUAAUAUGUACAUGUAGGUAGAGGUAAAGUGACUAUGCACAGAUAAUAAACAGAGUAGCAGCAGCGUAAAAAUGGGUGUGGGGGGACAAUGCAAAUAGUCUGGAUAGACAUUUGAUUAGCUUUUCAGGAGUCUAAUGGCUUGGGGGUAGAAGCUGUUAAGAAGCCCUUUGGACAUAGACUCUGCGCCAAUGAGUGUAAUUUGCUCAAUAUUUGGAUUGAUAAAUAAAGUUGACAUAAUUAGAAAGAAGAUUCUUCUCUUUUCUACUGUAGGUAUGUAAUUCAACAUUCCUUUAUUCUGUUGUUGCUAGGGAUAUAUUUUUAUAUAAAUAUUUUUGCGGACCCCCUGCAGUACCUCAGUGGACUCUUAGGGGGGAGGCAGACCCCAGGUUGAAUACCCCUACCUUAAAAACAUCCGCCACCUGCUGUAGCAGUCAUACAAUUGGAAUGGGUAGAAUGGUAGACAUUGACAUUCCCAUUGAAAGCAAGGUCCCUACUGUAACACCAUGGUAUGUGGCAUGGCAGACAUUGGAGAGGUUGUUCAGAAUGUGGAUGACUUGUGUUCUAAAAGGUCGAAUUGCUCUGUUAUAUCGGUGGAUCCAUGUAAAUCUUCCAGAAUUUAGAACCUGUUUGAUUCGUUUUUCUACCCAUUCCAUUGCUAUGGUACUAGCCG